UAAGCAUCGCGCUGGCGAGUCGCGCUUCUUCUCGUUAGGAGAGUUUCGGUUUCUUUUUUGGUUAUAGAUGGACCGAUUAAGGCUGCCCUACAUACCUCUUGGAGAGGAUCAAGCCAUUCGUAGUUCUUUUCUCCGAGUGAAAGUGGAAGUGGGUGCGCAUUCACUCAAUUUUUUUUUUUUGCGAGUGAAAGUGACGGUACGUCAUUCACUCGAUAAUGUUUAAACUUUGUCGAGUAAAAGUGACUGUGUCAGUUACUCGAUGGCUCGAUAUCUUCUCAAGAAUAAUAUCGUCGGAGAUGCAUGGAGUUCCAUGCUCUAGGAACAGCUUGGCCGGUGGACGUCUCGAGUCGGUAGACUCUUGGUUUAGCGACUUGAGCGAUUUUGUACGGGCCUUCCCAGUUAGUCUCGAGCUUGCCGGCGUUCAACCCUUUGGUGUUUUCGAACACUUUGUGUAGUACGAUGUUGCCUAACUCGAGAGGUCGAGAUCUGACUUUCUU
RNAcentral lists this long non-coding RNA (497 nucleotides) under Brassica rapa (field mustard). Its description in RNAcentral is "long non-coding RNA (BRAP_LNC005724)". Lineage: Eukaryota; Viridiplantae; Streptophyta; Magnoliopsida; Brassicales; Brassicaceae. The record is from RNAcentral.